GUUAGGAAUAUUGGACAAUGGGCGAAAGCCUGAUCCAGCCAUGCCGGGUGAACGAUGAAGGCCUUCGGGUUGUAAAGUUCUUUAGCCGAUGAUUAUAAUGACUGUAGUCGGAAAAUAAGCCCCGGCUAACUUCGUGCCAGCAGCCGCGGUAAUACGAAGGGGGCGAGCGUUAUUCGGAAUCACUGGGCGUAAAGCGUGCGUAGGCGGUUUUGUAAGUUAGGAGUGAAAGCCCAGGGCUCAACCUUGGAAUUGCUCUUAAAACUGCAAGGCUCGAAUAUCGGAGAGGAUAGCGGAAUUUCCAGUGUAGCAGUGAAAUGCGUAGAUAUUGGAAGGAACACCAGUGGCGUAAGCGGCUAUCUGGACGAGUAUUGACGCUGAGGCACGAAAGCGUGGGGAUCAAACAGGAUUAGAAACCCCAGUAGUCC
This 425-nucleotide ribosomal RNA is filed under the name uncultured bacterium. RNAcentral describes it as "partial 16S ribosomal RNA". It matches the Rfam family "Bacterial small subunit ribosomal RNA", at positions 354 to 796 of the family's 1533-position model. The record is from RNAcentral.